Molecule: long non-coding RNA, 1434 nt
Organism: Cicer arietinum (chickpea)
Lineage: Eukaryota; Viridiplantae; Streptophyta; Magnoliopsida; Fabales; Fabaceae
Source: RefSeq, a predicted model, not a curated record
CCAGUGGAAGAACCUUCCCUAGGGAAGUUGUUUGGUUCAUGUGAAAUUCCUUAAUUUGAAGUUGGUGAUCCAUUUCAGAAUGGAGUCAAUGGAGACAAAGCUCGGGACCUAGCUUUUGAUUGCUUAGAAAGUGCAAAAACUACAUAUACAAAAAACUUGCCAAACUGGGAAGAGGUUGCUGUUGGUAUGGAUCAACAACUAGACAAAGCUUGUAAUUUGACUAGGGAUGAAUGUUCGGAUUAUGUAUCAAGUGCCAGCACUCAGAAUGUCAAUAGCGAGGUGAGUUUCUUUAUUUGAGGACUUUUGGAUUAGGAACUACUGUGGAUGGCAGUGAAAAAAACAACUGGGAAGUCUGAGAGAUAGUGAGAGUCAGGGAUCUUUGCAGGGUGAUGUUUGUGUGGCUGAUCCUGAUCAGUUCUGAAGAGUAGGUGUUUUCAUGGAAAUAGAGUAUUUCAAAAUAUCGUGGCUGAAGAAGUUUAAGGUUUUGAAUUUUCUAAUCUCUUACAGUUUUCUCCGUUGCAAAGAUGAUUUAAUCUUGUAAUAAUACUACCAUUCUCGCUUAUUUGCUUUAUCAACCAUUACAAGAGUACUACAUUUCACGGGUUUUCAAAAGAAACAGCUUUUUCCCCCUCUGUUAUAGCUGAUUAACAUAUAUAUACAAUCAGAAUGGUCUGUCCCUUUUAUCUCCCUAUGAUGUUGGAUCUUCUAUGACCGCCUGUUCUUACGUUGUAUAGUUUCCCCCUUUGCUCAAGAUAUUUUGGCUAUCAAUUUCCAUGGUAAUUGAAUUUCUUAAUCAAUUUUCUGACCGGUGAAUAUGUGGUCGCAGGUCUUGCACCACUAUACGUGCUAUGUUUCCAGUAACUUUGCUUAACAACCUGACUUGCUUUGUGUAUAGAGAGGCUCAGAGACCAGAACUUCCUUUUGUUUCAAUUUAAUUUUUUGAUGGUUUGAUGCUUGGUUGGAUUCCUAACUACUAUUGUUCUUUCUUUUCUCCUAUAUUGUGUAUAGCCAGACGUCAGACUCAGGAGUGGCGUAUAAAUUUAAGAUGGGGCUAGGCGGAUGAGUUUGCAGUGCAUCACAUGAUACUUGGGCGGUAACCUUAUGCUAUAUUGGGGUUGUUGCUGUGCUGAGGUCCUUUGAAUGCAAAGAGGCUACAUUUGAACAGUGAGGAGCUGUUGCAAAGCAAAUGAUGGAAGCUAAUCAGAUUGAGGUUUUGGGGGGCAUUGCGAUGAUUGAAGAUGUUUGAAAAUGUGGUUAAGUCAUGUGUAAAGCAGGAGAUCAUUUUGUCUUCAGAGCUGUGUAUUGUCUCAACUUAUUUGUGUACCGAGUGCGAACUUAGUUGUUUACUUGUGAUGUGGUUGGUACAUCAUGUAAAUGAAAUCAAACAUUAUUUUGGUGCUUUCAAUUUGAUGUUUAGACAGUAGGGAAAAUCAA